GGAACGUUAGCUCAAUUGGUUAGAGCAACAGCCUUAUACGCUGUGGGUUAUAGGUCGUGGGUCCUAUACGUUCUAC
RNAcentral lists this transfer RNA (76 nucleotides) under Mucilaginibacter galii. RNAcentral's name for it is "tRNA-Ile". It matches the Rfam family "tRNA". Rfam says of the family: Transfer RNA (tRNA) molecules are approximately 80 nucleotides in length. Their secondary structure includes four short double-helical elements and three loops (D, anti-codon, and T loops). Further hydrogen bonds mediate the characteristic L-shaped molecular structure. tRNAs have two regions of fundamental functional importance: the anti-codon, which is responsible for specific mRNA codon recognition, and the 3' end, to which the tRNAs corresponding amino acid is attached (by aminoacyl-tRNA synthetases). tRNAs cope with the degeneracy of the genetic code in two manners: having more than one tRNA (with a specific anti-codon) for a particular amino acid; and 'wobble' base-pairing, i.e. permitting non-standard base-pairing at the 3rd anti-codon position. Lineage: Bacteria; Pseudomonadati; Bacteroidota; Sphingobacteriia; Sphingobacteriales; Sphingobacteriaceae. The record is from RNAcentral.